This is a long non-coding RNA of Eurytemora carolleeae, 259 nucleotides long. RefSeq lists it as uncharacterized. The transcript has 3 exons. NCBI's taxonomy places the organism in Eukaryota, Metazoa, Arthropoda, Copepoda, Calanoida, Temoridae. The record is from RefSeq and is a predicted model, not a curated record.
CUGUAUCCUGUGCUAUCUAUUGACUGGAGUCCGGGAGAUGAUGCCGCUAAACUUUGCGAAAAUCUGAAGGAAGACGAUUUCGGUCCCGACCUUUAUGUACAGCAAGGUUUGUACGAGGAGGUCAAAAGAAUUGAGCCAUCAAGCAGUAUCGUAGAAUCAGUUCAACCCAGAACAUAUAUUAUACUAGGGUUUAAGAGUCUUGAAUCCAGUGUAUCUAGUGUUCUAGAGUCAACCUGGAGAGACUGGACGGGAGCUAGGU